RNAcentral lists this ribosomal RNA (465 nucleotides) under uncultured bacterium. RNAcentral's name for it is "partial 16S ribosomal RNA". It matches the Rfam family "Bacterial small subunit ribosomal RNA", at positions 29 to 507 of the family's 1533-position model. The record is from RNAcentral.
AAUGAACGUUGGCGGCGUGGAUUAGGCAUGCAAGUCGAGCGAGAACCCCGCAAGUGGGGACAGCGGCGAAAGGGACAGUAAUGUGUAGAUUAUCUGCCCUCAGGUCCGGGAUAGCUGCGGGAAACUGCAGGUAAUACCGGAUAACAUCUCCGGAUCAAAGGUGUGAUUCCGCCUGAGGAUGAGUCUGCAUCCUAUUAGCUAGUUGGUGGGGUAAUGGCCUACCAAGGCAUUGAUGGGUAGCAGGUGUGAGAGCACGACCUGCGUCAUUGGGACUGAGACACUGCCCAGACACCUACGGGGGGCUGCAGUCGAGAAGCUUCGGCAAUGGGCGCAAGCCUGACCGGGCGACGCCGCGGGUGGGAUGAAGGCCUUCGGGUUGUAAACCACUGUCAGAGGGGAUGAAAUGCAGGUGGGUUCUCCCAUCUGUUUGACAUAGCCUCAGAGGAAGGACGGGCUAAGUUCGUG